CCCCGUGGCUGCUUGCACUUUUCCUGAAGGCCAGAGCUGCCUCCGUCGUUAACCCCCAGCAAGGUGAGGCACAGCUCUCUGGCAAGCAGGCAUCCGCCGCUAAUGGCAGGCAAUGAGCAGAGACGGAAAUCCCUGGGACGUGAUUCUCUGAGGCUGGGAAGGCUAGGAAUCCUUUGGAAGCUCACUGUCUGGACCUCCAAGCAGGCUGUCACCAUGGAUCCUCGCUGGGCGACUUCCAGUUCAUCUUUCCCACCAACUGGAAUGAACAUUCUAGAACAUCAUUUCUGUCAGAUCUCUACUGCCAGAGGGAGGGAGAGUCCCAAGCAACCAAGCCAUCGCAAUGACAGAGGCAGGGUGGUGGAGUGUUUCCAUGCUCUGGAAUGGAGACCUGGAUUUGAAGUGGGCUCCCAGAGCGGAGUCACGUCUCAGCUCUGCCUGGGGGCCAAUUCACUGUGUGACCUUGGGCGCAUCAAAGAGACUCCUGUACCUGUCUCCUUGCCAGCAAGAUGAGGGUGUUGGAUCCGGGUUCCUAGCGUGUCUGCCAGCUCGGAUGUUAAGUUCUUCUAUGGUGUGGAUGGGGUCCUGGAGGCAGUGACUACGGCUGAAGUUCUCUCAUUAUCCCCAUGCCAGCGACUGGGACAGUUUCGUAUAUUUCUAAGCGCCCAUCUUUCAAAAAUUCUUCUAUUGUAUAUGAAACGUCAAAAAAAUUGGUUUUUCCUUUUCUCUGGGGCUCACCCCAGCAGCAAGCCGUAAGCCCCACUUACGCUGAUAAGAACCGAACACGCUGACCUCUGGUCAGAUCUGAUGGCAAAGGACGUUUCUCUCAUCACCACCUCUGUUCCCAGGAUCGCCAUCCUCCCACGCUUACAUCCCUUGAUACCUUCCAGGCAAAUGCUGAAUGGUUGAUUAUUUGCCCAGAUGAUUUUAGCAUGCCCUCACUUGGAUUUUGCCUCCAAAGUCUUUUUAUUGAGAAUUUUAAUA
This is a long non-coding RNA of Balaenoptera musculus (blue whale), 981 nucleotides long. RefSeq lists it as uncharacterized. The transcript is spliced from 3 exons. The record is from RefSeq and is a predicted model, not a curated record. Lineage: Eukaryota; Metazoa; Chordata; Mammalia; Artiodactyla; Balaenopteridae.